Molecule: long non-coding RNA, 1016 nt
Organism: Neofelis nebulosa (Clouded leopard)
Lineage: Eukaryota; Metazoa; Chordata; Mammalia; Carnivora; Felidae
Exons: 3
Source: RefSeq, a predicted model, not a curated record
UUUCAGAUUCCUAGAGAUGGAUAUGCAAGUUUUCAGUGAAUGCAAAUCAGGUGAGCCCACCCUGGAAGAGGAACUGUUAGUUUUCACUGCCAUCCCUGUCCUGUUAGCAUUACCUACCUUAUCAAGCUGGAGAGGAAAAUGGAAAUAGCCCCAGGUAGGACACUUGUAAUCCUUGAUACUCUGGAGAACUCCUGGCCACCUGUACUACUUUUGGAUCCAGAACAGGUGAAACCUUACUUUUCAAGUCCUCAGAGAUACAUUGGUUUUUAAUAUCUUGUCUUUUGAUUUUUUUCCAUCGCUGCUAUAUGUUGGCAGACGUUGAAUACUCCCCACGUAUUAAUUUACAAUGCCAUCAAUGACUGAAAAUCUGCUUUGCUAUAAAUUCUGUGACCUUUGGCUAUUUUCUUAGUGUCUCUGGGUCUCAGUGUCUGCUAUUAAGAUUCAGGCAUGUCUCACGACUAGUUGAUGAUUUGGGUAAAUUAGAUCUAAGGGUGUAUGAAGGGGAGUAGUGGGAAAAACAGCUGGAAAGGUAGAUUGAGGCUAGAUCAUGGGUGGCCCUGAAUGCCAAAGCAAAGAAUGAGAAAUUCGGUUCAUUGAAAAUGGAGAGUUACUGAGGGUUAGGUAGCAUGAUGUAGAGAGAUUAGUGAGACCAUGCUGCAGGAGGGCUUGGAGGAACAGAGGAAAUAGGCAGGAAAGCCAGGAAGAUGAUAUCUUGGUACAGAUAGACAGGAGCCAGUGGUUGGAAUGAAGAGGUGACAAGAUUGAGAAGAGUACGGCAGUAGGUUUAACAGGACCUGCUGCCUGAUUGAAUGCAAGAUCAAGGGAAAGAGAAGCACCAAAAGGGGUUUUAGAACCUAGGUGAUUGUGAAGAUUAUUGUUCCAUCUACACGUAUUGAGAAGUCAGGAAGAAACGAGGACACGGUGCUUUUUAGUGGUUGUGCCUUCCAUUGAAUACUGCAAUGCCCAGCCCUUUGAUGGGCACACAUUAAUGAUGAUAAUUACUUUGCAGACACUAA